GUAGGUGGCAAGCGUUGUCCGGAAUUAUUGGGCGUAAAGCGCGCGCAGGCGGGUUCUUUAAGUCUGAUGUGAAAGCCCACGGGCUCAACCGUGGAGGGUCAUUGGAAACUGGAGAACUUGAGUACGGAAGAGGAAAGCGGAAUUCCACGUGUAGCGGUGAAAUGCGUAGAGAUGUGGAGGAACACCAGUGGCGAAGGCGGCUUUCUGGUCUGUAACUGACGCUGAGGCGCGAAAGCGUGGGGAGCAAACAGGAUUAGAUACCCUGGUAGUCCACGCCGUAAACGAUGAGUGCUAAGUGUUAGGGGGUUUCCGCCCCUUAGUGCUGCAGCUAACGCAUUAAGCACUCCGCCUGGGGAGUACGGCCGCAAGGCUG
This 373-nucleotide ribosomal RNA is filed under the name uncultured organism. Its description in RNAcentral is "partial 16S ribosomal RNA". It matches the Rfam family "Bacterial small subunit ribosomal RNA", at positions 527 to 896 of the family's 1533-position model. The record is from RNAcentral.